Molecule: long non-coding RNA, 604 nt
Organism: Andrographis paniculata
Lineage: Eukaryota; Viridiplantae; Streptophyta; Magnoliopsida; Lamiales; Acanthaceae
Exons: 4
Source: RefSeq, a predicted model, not a curated record
UGCCAGGAGGAAGAGCUAAAAGGCGCCGUUGUCCUCUUGUUUGCUAACAAGCAGGAUCUUCCUGGAGCAAUGGAUGAUGCUUCGAUAAUUGAGGCCUUAGAGUUGCACAAAAUUAAGAAUCGGUAAUGGGCUAUCUUCAAAACUUCCGCCAUAAAGGGAGAGGGCCUCUUUGAGGGCCUAGACCGGUGACACACUUUCCCUGGUCAAGGUCUUCGUGACAUCCGCCUCAGUCCCGAACACACCCCUUAUUUUGCCGACCAUUGCUGGGGCGACUACCCUUCGCGAUGUCGUUGGUGAAAAUCCUAUUGAAUGGAACUACAAGGAUCUCAUGCACCGCCCCUGAAGCGUAUCUACCGAUUCACCCAUGUUAGUUGCCCCGUUUGUCUUAUGGAAUGUAUGUCAUACCUAUUUUUGGAUGGAUUGUGUUGAGGCUGUGUGAACGAUAUGUGGAAUUGAUGCAUAGACCAUUGGAGUUUUAAUUCGUGUGGUGAAAGAUGUGGUUAUGGAUUGAUGGAUAUCCGUACUUGCUUAUUGUUAGGUUUGGUGUUUGAACUGUUAAGCCCGUUUUGCGGAACAAGAUGUUGCUGUGUAGUGCUUGCUAGGC